This is a long non-coding RNA of Magnolia sinica, 1364 nucleotides long. RefSeq lists it as uncharacterized. NCBI's taxonomy places the organism in Eukaryota, Viridiplantae, Streptophyta, Magnoliopsida, Magnoliales, Magnoliaceae. The transcript has 5 exons. The record is from RefSeq and is a predicted model, not a curated record.
UCUCUCAAAACCCUAGUCCUCUAUAUCUCUAUCUCCUCGGCCCUCUGCUGCAGUUCGACCUUCUGCUGGUCGUAAAUCUCGGAUUCUCAGAAAUGCUUUCAAAAAUGAGCUGACAUUGUUAGAAAAGGUUCGGCAUCCUAAUGUGGUUCAGUUUGUGGGAGCUGUUACUCAGAAUAUACCCAUGAUGAUUGUUUCCCAGUACCAUCCAAAAGUAAGCAUCUUUGCAUUCAUAUGGAAAUUUUCUAAUAGCACACUUGGUUGCUGCAGUCUGCUAUAAAAGUUUGGUUGUCCUAUUUGUGAUCUAAUUUUUUAUUUUUUAUUUUUUAUUUCUUUGAGUUGUCCCAUAAUUCCAUUCUAAUGCAGUUUCCCCAUACAUUUUACUUGUUUACAUCGAUGUUGAUAAUACAUAUGGCAUCACUUAAAAUAUUAUUUUGAAGACUGCAUUGUCUAGGAAACAUAUAUGUAUGUCAUUAAACCAUAUGGAUUCUUGUACUUCGGUGGAUUUCAGGGAGAUUUGGCAAUUACCUUCAAAAGAAAGGACGUCUACAGCCUUCUAAAGCUCUGAGAUUUGCUCUUGAUAUUGCUAGCCAGCUUGUUUUCACCAUAUUGCAAAGUGGGACUGCACGGGACAACUUCCCGACAAAUCAACAAUCAUUGUUUGGCGGUCUGAAACACAAUGAAUGGUGAUUUGGAGUGUCAAGUAUGGUUACCUGAUUUGGCAAUUCUGCUUCUAUCCUUGUGCUUCUGUGUUGGAAUGUAACUCUUUAGAGAUGGAAACCUCUCGUUACAAAUAUCAUGUGGAUGAACUUGUUCAGGCAAGUAUCUACUUUCUCUUAUGCAAUGUGUUUCUAAAAUUUAUCAUCAUCACCAGAAAAAGGUAACAGUGUCUUUUUGCCACUGUCUAAUCUUUUAUUUUCCCUUGAACAGUUUUUACCCUACUUUCAGAGCUUGCUAGUUUCAAGUUAAAAUCCAUAUACACUGCAAUGAAUAUUUUAUAUUGCCCAAAAUCUUCUUUUUGUGGGAAAUAAAAGAAGAACGUUAACAUGUCGGUUCAAAUGGGAUUCAGGUGGGCCUACUCAUUUAUGAAAAAAAAAAAAAACUGAUUUAGAAUUACAUGGAAAUUGGUCACAUACCCAGCUUGUCUGCAGUUUCUUUCUGGUCAAUCACUAUCUUUGGAGUGUUCAGAUUCGAGAAGUGUACAGAAACCUUCACAUGCACAUAGAUGCAUUUGACAUCUAAGUCAGGAUCUGGCUAAUUGGUAUUCACUUUAUGCUUUCUUUGCAAAGGUACAUCUAUACAGGAGAUUUCUUCCGAGUAGCUUGAGGAAAGGAGAUUUAUAUCAUGCAGAGGCAACUGCAAAUUUC